GACGAACGCUGGCGGCGUGCCUAAUACAUGCAAGUUGAGCGAUGAAGCUUGGUGCUUGCACCAAUUUGAAGAGCAGCGAACGGGUGAGUAACGCGUGGGGAAUCUGCCUUUGAGCGGGGGACAACAUUUGGAAACGAAUGCUAAUACCGCAUAACAACUUUAAACAUAAGUUUUAAGUUUGAAAGAUGCAAUUGCAUCACUCAAAGAUGAUCCCGCGUUGUAUUAGCUAGUUGGUGAGGUAAAGGCUCACCAAGGCGAUGAUACAUAGCCGACCUGAGAGGGUGAUCGGCCACAUUGGGACUGAGACACGGCCCAAACUCCUACGGGAGGCAGCAGUAGGGAAUCUUCGGCAACGGACGAAAGUCUGACCGAGCAACGCCGCGUGAGUGAAGAAGGUUUUCGGAUCGUAAAACUCUGUUGGUAGAGAAGAACGUUGGUGAGAGUGGAAAGCUCAUCAAGUGACGGUAACUACACAGAAAGGGACGGCUAACUACGUG
This 497-nucleotide ribosomal RNA is filed under the name uncultured bacterium. Its description in RNAcentral is "partial 16S ribosomal RNA". It matches the Rfam family "Bacterial small subunit ribosomal RNA", at positions 28 to 507 of the family's 1533-position model. The record is from RNAcentral.